ACCUCGCUGAGGAGUCCCAAAUAGACCGAAACGCGCGUCCCGGAU
Molecule: non-coding RNA, 45 nt
Filed under: Schistosoma margrebowiei
Lineage: Eukaryota; Metazoa; Platyhelminthes; Trematoda; Strigeidida; Schistosomatidae
Source: RNAcentral